UGAUGUUUGUUGCAGGAAUAGA
This 22-nucleotide unclassified non-coding RNA is filed under the name Mus musculus (house mouse). RNAcentral describes it as "oocyte_clustered_small_RNA8532". Lineage: Eukaryota; Metazoa; Chordata; Mammalia; Rodentia; Muridae. The record is from RNAcentral.